RNAcentral lists this small RNA (108 nucleotides) under Salmonella enterica subsp. enterica serovar Guildford. RNAcentral describes it as "partial RtT sRNA". It matches the Rfam family "RtT RNA", at positions 19 to 130 of the family's 130-position model. From Rfam's summary of the family: This family represents a bacterial cis-regulatory element known as RtT RNA. The exact function of RtT is unknown although it is thought that it may be involved in changing the cellular response in relation to amino acid starvation. Lineage: Bacteria; Pseudomonadati; Pseudomonadota; Gammaproteobacteria; Enterobacterales; Enterobacteriaceae. The record is from RNAcentral.
AAGAUUCGAACCUGCCGCAGGUUCGGGUCUCACGUAGUGAGACAACGGAGCCGCUUGCGGCGACGGCCCGAAGGGCGAGCGAAGCGAGUCAUCCUGCACGACCCACCA